GGCCGAGGCAAGUGAAUCACAAGGUCAGGAGUUCAAGACUAGCCUGGCCAAGAUGGUGAGCCCCUGUCUCUACUAAACUACAAAAAUUAGCUGGGCGUGGUGGCAGGCGCCUGUAAUCCCAGAUACUCAGGAGGCUGAGGCAGGAGAAUUGCUUGAACCCAGGUGUCGGAGAGUGCAGUGAGCCGAGAUUGUGCCACUGCACUCCAGCCUGGGUGACAGAGUGAGACUCCAUCUUAAAAAAAAAAAAAAUGCUGAGGCCCUAGAGCCACACGGAGACCGGGUCCAAAUCUCCUGCCACCACUCAAGCUGCGUGUCCCUGGCUUCUUGCUUUUUGCAGCUGACCAAGCCCUCUAAUCUGCAACUGGGAUAAUACAGCGCCUGCCUCCAGGAGGAACAGUAAGGAGUGGAUGGGAUGAAGCCCUCCACCCUGGCCACAGGUGGUGUCUGUGGGUGGCAGAGCUGAGAUUCCCCCACCUUGGACCCCAGUGCCGACACUUGCCAUUGUACCAUGCCACCUCCCUGCCCCCUGAGACUGGGCCUGAGGAAGCCACAGCCCCUCCCAUGUGCCCUGGCCCCUCUGGGCUCCCAUGGAGGAUGGUGCUGCUGGGUCACCUGCUUUGGGCUCUGCCCUCAGACUCCCUUCACCCCAAGGUGUGCCAUCCUCUCCAUUCCACCAAGGCCUGUCCAGGCCUCGCUUGCUUAAUCCAUAGUCUUCAGAGCCACCUGUCAUUAGGCAGGGCAAGUGGGAGCCGCUUCAUGGUGAUCUUGGAGACAGAUUUUCACCAUCAACCACUCCCCAUCAGCUCAGCUCUGAGAAGGUACAAGGUGUUUUCGUUUUGUAUAAUUACUAUUGUGGGCCAAGUGUGGUGGUUCAUGCCUGUAAUCUGAGCACUUUGGGAGGCUGAGGCAGGGGAUCACUUGAGGUCAGGAGUUUGAGACUAGCCGGGCCAACAUGGCAAAACUCCAUCUCUACUAAAAAUACAAAAAUUAGCUGUAAAUGGUGGUGGGCACCUGUAGUUCCAGCUACUUUGGAAGCUGAGACAGAAGAAUUGAUUGAACCUGGGAGUUGGAGGUUGCAGUGAGCCAAGAUUGUGCCAUUGCAUUCCAGCUUGGGUGACAGAGUAAGACUCUAUCUUAAAAAUAAAAUAAAAUUUAUUUAUUUUUAUUUAUUUUUUUUUUGCUUUAAAAAUUCUUUAAUUUGAUACAGUCAAGACUUCAUAUAUAACUUCUAGUUUACAGGAAAUACAGGUGAUAUACAGGUUAUACACUGGAGAAAUACAGGGAAAUACAACACGAAGAAAAAAAUCAGAUAAACCCAGAAGAAGAGUUCUAAAGAAAAAUUGACCU
RNAcentral lists this long non-coding RNA (1347 nucleotides) under Homo sapiens (human). RNAcentral describes it as "LHRI_LNC730.1". The record is from RNAcentral. Lineage: Eukaryota; Metazoa; Chordata; Mammalia; Primates; Hominidae.